RNAcentral lists this long non-coding RNA (587 nucleotides) under Medicago truncatula (barrel medic). RNAcentral's name for it is "long non-coding RNA (MTRU_LNC001288)". The record is from RNAcentral. Lineage: Eukaryota; Viridiplantae; Streptophyta; Magnoliopsida; Fabales; Fabaceae.
GAUCGCAGCAGAUGAAAUCAAGAAAAAGGGUUAUAAUUUUUCUCAAUCCAAACUCAUCUUUCUCAAUUCAAGAAUGGAAUUGAUGAAGGGAAAAUUUUAAGGUUUGCUUAAAAUCCACGUUUAUUCUAUUGCAAUUACUACAUACAAAAAUUUGAGUAUUGAUUUCUUGUUCUAUUCACUACCUUCCUAGUACUCCAUCGGUCUCUCUCUCUCUCUCUCUCUGAUUUUCUAUGUGUUUUCUGAGUUUUUGCAUUGUAUUUGAUUUUAAACGGUGUUGAAUUUGUUGUUGGUUAUAGAUGUGGCCAAACCUCAUUCAAAAAUAUAUAGAUGGAGGAUUUUAUGUCAUCCAAACUAUGUUUCUGGAACUUACAUAAACCAGUUAAAGGUUAGGUUCUGUUCUUACCAUUUUCUUUUAUAUUCCUAAGCCUUUCAGCAUUGCAUUGGUAAUGUGUGAAGGAGAAGUUUGCAUUGCUUGCAGCUUUAAUUAGUAGUUAUAAGAAAAGAAAACAAGUGUGUAUUUAAUCUGAAUUGCUAAUUGUUGAAAGCACUUAUAUGCUAUAAGCACUUAAAUAGAAAUAGCUUAUUUU